UUCUCUAAGAUCCCUCUGAGCACAGCCGGCUGGCUUGGUUAGCUUUGAUUAGCAAAGGGCAUCCACAGCACAGCUUCGGUGCUUCAAAGUUGCAUAGGGGUUCUGAGUGCAAAAUCAUUGCAUGUAUGCGUGUUGCUUCCCAGCUUGCACGUGUGGGCAGCCCAUAGCAGAGCAUUGCAGGGUAUGCCCUCUGCAGCGCUCGUCUUUGCGGGUUUGGGUACAAAUAGCUGUGUGUGGCAGGGGAUCAAAGUUACAGAUAAUAUCAGUGAUGCAGACUUCGAUGUGUCACGAAGGCUGCUGCUGAUGGCAGUGUUUUAUAGCCCAGGUGAGGUCAGUGUCCUCUGGUGAAAGAUGAGGGCAGCCUCCCGGAUGGCAUUGGCUUAAUAAAGCGGUUCCUAACUUUGGAAAGGUCUCCCUUAUGAGAUGUGCUGCUAAAUGACUCCUUUCAGUGGGUUCUCUUUCGGGAUUUCGGUUGGUGCAGCUCUUCUCCUUCAUGGCUCUGUGGUUAUGCAGAUGGAACGGCCUGAUUAGGAAGACUGAAGGACGGAGACUGGGAACGGAGUUCCUGGACAUCAGUGGGACCUUCUGCCUGCCCGGAGGGGACAGAGGUGCUGCAGCCUUGGAUUAUGGGAUGCAGGUGGAUGACCAAUGUACAGCGUGGACCUGGGACCUACUGGGGGAAGUCCUGGAGGAAAAGCACUGCUCACAGAUCCAGGUGUCACUGAAUGGCAGUGGGGGUCGUUUUUUCUGCCCGGAGGGAUUCAAUACCAAACCUUUGCUCCAUCCCGACUUCCAUGUCAGACACCCUUCUGACCGGCCGCCCCUCUGCUGCCAUCUGUCACGCAGCAACGAAAUGUAACAGAGUGUUGGUGGGAAGGUUCAGCCUCUACUGCCAUAGCACCAAUAUCUGCCUCUGACAUCAUGGGCUGGCAUCAUAAAAU
Gallus gallus (chicken) is the source of this 941-nucleotide long non-coding RNA. The record is from Ensembl. Lineage: Eukaryota; Metazoa; Chordata; Aves; Galliformes; Phasianidae.